AGAGGGUGCAAGCGUUAAUCGGAAUUACUGGGCGUAAAGGGGCGUGUAGGGUGGGUUUUAAAAGUUGGGCUGUGAAAGCCCCGGGCUUAACCUGGGAGGGUCAGCCAAAACUAUAAGACUAGAGUACGGUAGAGGGUAGUGGAAUUUCCGGUGUAGCGGUGAAAUGCGUAGAUAUCGGAAGGAACACCAGUGGCGAAGGCGACUACCUGGACUGAUACUGACACUGAGGCGCGAAAGCGUGGGGAGCGAACAGGAUUAGAUACCCUGGUAGUCCACGCCGUAAACGAUGAGAACUAGCCGUUGGGGACGUAAGUCUUUAGUGGCGCAGCUAACGCGAUAAGUUCUCCGCCUGGGGAGUACGGCCGCAAGGCUA
RNAcentral lists this ribosomal RNA (373 nucleotides) under uncultured organism. Its description in RNAcentral is "partial 16S ribosomal RNA". It matches the Rfam family "Bacterial small subunit ribosomal RNA", at positions 527 to 896 of the family's 1533-position model. The record is from RNAcentral.